UAGUGUAGAGGUGAAAUUCGUAGAUAUUAGAAAGAAUACCAAUUGCGAAGGCAGCUUUCUGGAUCAUUACUGACACUGAGGAACGAAAGCAUGGGUAGCGAAGAGGAUUAGAUACCCUCGUAGUCCAUGCCGUAAACGAUGUGUGUUAGACGUUGGAAAUUUAUUUUCAGUGUCGCAGUGAAAACGAUAAACACACCGCCUGGGGAGUACGACCGCAAGGUUAAAACUCAAAUGAAUUGACGGGGACCCGCACAAGUAGUGGAGCAUGUGGUUUAAUUCGAAGAUACGCGCAGAACCUUACCAACACUUGACAUGUUCGUCGCGACUUUAAGAGAUUAAAGUUUUCGGUUCGGCCGGACGAAACACAGGUGCUGCAUGGCUGUCGUCAGCUCGUGUCGUGAGAUGUUGGGUUAAGUCCCGCAACGAGCGCAACCCUCACUUUUAGUUGCCAUCAUUUAGUUGGGCACUCUGAAAGAACUGCCAGUGAUAAGCUGGAGGAAGGUGGGGAUGACGUCAAGUCCUCAUGGCCCUUACGUGUUGGGCUACACACGUGCUACAAUGGUAUAUACAACAGGAAGCAAGACGGCGACGUUAAGCAAAUCCUCAAAAGAUACCUCAGUUCGGAUUGCACUCUGCAACUCGAGUGCAUGAAGCUGGAAUUACUAGUAAUCGUGGAUCAGCGUGCCACGGUGAAUGCGUUCCCGGGUCUUGUACACACCGCCCGUCACACCAUGGGAGUUGGUUCUACCUUAAGGCAAGGUUUAAAACCCUUGACCACGGUAUAGUCAGCGACUGGGGUGAAGUCGUAACAAGGU
Molecule: ribosomal RNA, 815 nt
Filed under: marine metagenome
Description: bacterial SSU rRNA
Rfam family: Bacterial small subunit ribosomal RNA
Source: RNAcentral